RNAcentral lists this ribosomal RNA (393 nucleotides) under uncultured bacterium. RNAcentral's name for it is "bacterial SSU rRNA". It matches the Rfam family "Bacterial small subunit ribosomal RNA", at positions 28 to 446 of the family's 1533-position model. The record is from RNAcentral.
GACGAACGCUGGCGGCGUGCUUAACACAUGCAAGUCGAGCGGAAAGGCCCUUCGGGUCUAGUGGCGCACGGGUGCGUAACGCGUGGGAAUCUGCCCUUGGGUUCGGAAUAACAGUUAGAAAUGACUGCUAAUACCGAAUGAUGUCGUAAGACCAAAGAUUCAUCGCCCAGGGAUGAGCCCGCGUAGGAUUAGCUAGUUGGUGUGGUAAAGCGCACCAAGGCGACGAUCCUUAGCUGGUCUGAGAGGAUGAUCAGCCACACUGGGACUGAGACACGGCCCAGACUCCUACGGGAGGCAGCAGUGGGGAAUAUUGGACAAUGGGCGAAAGCCUGAUCCAGCAAUGCCGCGUGAGUGAUGAAGGCCUUAGGGUUGUAAAGCUCUUUUACCCGGGAU